UUCCAUGGUUGCUAGUGAGUCAGAAGAG
Molecule: non-coding RNA, 28 nt
Filed under: Mus musculus (house mouse)
Lineage: Eukaryota; Metazoa; Chordata; Mammalia; Rodentia; Muridae
Source: RNAcentral